UGGACCCGCGUCUGAUUAGGUAGUUGGUGGGGUAACGGCCUACCAAGCCAACGAUCAGUAGCCGACCUGAGAGGGUGACCGGCCACAUUGGGACUGAGACACGGCCCAAACUCCUACGGGAGGCAGCAGUGGGGAAUAUUGCACAAUGGGGGAAACCCUGAUGCAGCGACGCCGCGUGAGCGAAGAAGUAUUUCGGUAUGUAAAGCUCUAUCAGCAGGGAAGAAAAUGACGGUACUUGACUAAGAAGCACCGGCUAAAUACGUGCCAGCAGCCGCGGUAAUACGUAUGGUGCAAGCGUUAUCCGGAUUUACUGGGUGUAAAGGGAGCGUAGACGGCUGUGUAAGUCUGAAGUGAAAGCCCGGGGCUCAACCCCGGGACUGCUUUGGAAACUAUGCAGCUAGAGUGUCGGAGAGGUAAGUGGAAUUCCCAGUGUAGCGGUGAAAUGC
RNAcentral lists this ribosomal RNA (446 nucleotides) under uncultured bacterium. RNAcentral's name for it is "bacterial SSU rRNA". It matches the Rfam family "Bacterial small subunit ribosomal RNA", at positions 226 to 689 of the family's 1533-position model. The record is from RNAcentral.